UACAGAGGUCUCAAGCGUUGUUCGGAUUCAUUGGGCGUAAAGGGUGCGUAGGUGGCGCUGUAAGUCGGGUGUGAAAUUUCGGAGCUUAACUCCGAAACUGCAUUCGAUACUGCGGUGCUUGAGGACUGGAGAGGAGACUGGAAUUCAUGGUGUAGCAGUGAAAUGCGCAGAUAUCAGGAGGAACACCGGUGGCGAAGGCGGGUCUCUGGGCCGUAACUGACGCUGAGGAGCGAAAGCGUGGGGAGCGAACAGG
RNAcentral lists this ribosomal RNA (253 nucleotides) under uncultured bacterium. RNAcentral describes it as "partial 16S ribosomal RNA". It matches the Rfam family "Bacterial small subunit ribosomal RNA", at positions 524 to 776 of the family's 1533-position model. The record is from RNAcentral.